This 455-nucleotide ribosomal RNA is filed under the name uncultured organism. Its description in RNAcentral is "bacterial SSU rRNA". It matches the Rfam family "Bacterial small subunit ribosomal RNA", at positions 346 to 794 of the family's 1533-position model. The record is from RNAcentral.
GCGCAGCAGUCGCGAAUUUUUCUCAAUGGGGGAAACCCUGAAGGAGCGACGCCGCGUGGAGGAUGAAGGCUUUCGGGUUGUAAACUCCUGUCAUUUGGGAACAAGUUGCACACGUUAACUGCGUGGGCAUUGAUAGUACCAGAAGAGGAAGGGACGGCUAACUCUGUGCCAGCAGCCGCGGUAAUACAGAGGUCCCAAGCGUUGUUCGGAUUCAUUGGGCGUAAAGGGUGCGUAGGUGGCGCUGUAAGUCGGGUGUGAAAUUUCGAGGCUUAACCUCGAAACUGCAUUCGAUACUGCGGUGCUUGAGGACUGGAGAGGAGACUGGAAUUCAUGGUGUAGCAAUGAAAUGCGUAGAGAUCAUGAGGAAGACCAGUGGCGAAGGCGGGUCUCUGGACAGUUCCUGACACUGAGGCACGAAGGCCAGGGGAGCAAACGGGAUUAGAUACCCCCGUAGU